This 263-nucleotide unclassified non-coding RNA is filed under the name Hevea brasiliensis (rubber tree). The record is from RNAcentral. Lineage: Eukaryota; Viridiplantae; Streptophyta; Magnoliopsida; Malpighiales; Euphorbiaceae.
AAUUAGUCAGGGUUAGGAAUAGGUUGAAUCAGGCUAGGUUCAGAGGGAAAAAUCUGUUGUCCAAGCCUGGCAUUUUUGUGGGCCAGGCGGUUUCUUGGGCUGUGAAUGAGUCUAACUAGGACUUCGUGAAUUUGGUAUUAGGAUAGAUACAACAAUAACUAUAGCUCUAAAUGGUAAAGUGAACUGCAUAAUGUUCUUCACAAAUAACUUUUUGUAUGGCCUUGUGUACACCUUGUUUUGCUCUUUUUUCUUGGCAUUUGGGU